This 253-nucleotide ribosomal RNA is filed under the name uncultured bacterium. RNAcentral's name for it is "partial 16S ribosomal RNA". It matches the Rfam family "Bacterial small subunit ribosomal RNA", at positions 524 to 776 of the family's 1533-position model. The record is from RNAcentral.
UACGUAGGGGGCAAGCGUUGUCCGGAAUCAUUGGGCGUAAAGCGCGUGUAGGCGGCUUGGUAAGUCCGCUCUGAAAGCCCGGGGCUCAACCCCGGGAGGCGGGUGGAUACUGUCAAGCUCGAGUCCGGAAGAGGCGAGUGGAUUUCCUGGUGUAGCGGUGAAAUGCGCAGAUAUCAGGAGGAACACCGGUGGCGAAGGCGGGUCUCUGGGCCGAUACUGACGCUGAGGAGCGAAAGCGUGGGGAGCGAACAGG